Molecule: unclassified non-coding RNA, 1010 nt
Filed under: Leishmania donovani
Lineage: Eukaryota; Euglenozoa; Kinetoplastea; Trypanosomatida; Trypanosomatidae
Description: gene:LdHU3.23.1900(CDS-product:Uncharacterised_pr otein_family_UPF0546/EamA-like_transporter_family_putative)
Source: RNAcentral
CGGACGAAGCUGCCGCGACUGCGCUAGAAACUCGUUUCCGCGCCCCGCGUGUGGGCUUCUUCGUGGACACCGGAGCCUUGCCAUGAUCUCUCUCAUGCUGCUGGCUGCGCUGCUGUGGGGCGUGACGAACCCGCUGCUGAAGCACUACAGCCGAGGGAUGGCGAGCAGCGGGUCCGCGAAGGAUGACGCGCUGUUUCUUGUGCGACGACCGAAGUACCUGUUCACACAGGCUGUGAACCUAAGUGGAUCCGUCGUGUUUUUUUACUCGCUGCGUGAGGUGGACGUGUCGGUUGGCUCGAUUGUGGUGAACUCGCUUUCAUUCGUUAUCACUGUUCUGAUGAGUGUGUUGGUUAUGCGCGAGGGUCUGUUGCGCGCGCGGACCACUGCGGGGUGCCUUCUGGUGAUGGUGGGGACUGCGCUGUGUACCUACUCGUCCAGCGCGAGCUGAGGGUGCGUCCGCUAGGCCAUCCGCGACCUGUGAUCAGAUGUCCCGUCUUUUGACGGCACUGCUUGUGUGGUUGUGCGUGUGUGUUUUGCGAAUAUGUGCAUGAGUCAGCGGAGCUCAAGCGGUCGGAUAGCGAUGCCGCUGGCGGAAUGUGCGUGUGAAUGCGUGCUACACAAUCCGUGGCGUUCUGGCCUUAGAGCAAACAGCUCUGAAAGCAACCCUAUGCUAAGCAUGCGAUGUUGCACAUGCUUUUCUGGCCGCUUCUGUCGUUCUCUCUUUCUUGGCGCGCAGGAUGACCCCGUAAUCAGAAAGGCAGCCGGUGGUCGAUGCUGGCGUUAUGUGUAUUUCUGCUGCCCUCGCGUCACAUGUGGGUGCGCGGUGCGAUGUAUCACGCAUGCCUACUUCUCUGCAGCCGAUGCAUAGAUGCUCCGCCGCUUCUGUUUUCUCGCUCCUUUUCGAGGCCUUUUCCAUUGUGUUGCCUGCGGCCAUACCCCGUACCCCAUCCCCGCCUGUUUGCGUCUGCCGUCCGUCCGAUACACACCCCCGUUCAUAUCUUUCUCUCCAG